This is a long non-coding RNA of Formica exsecta, 958 nucleotides long. RefSeq lists it as uncharacterized. Lineage: Eukaryota; Metazoa; Arthropoda; Insecta; Hymenoptera; Formicidae. The record is from RefSeq and is a predicted model, not a curated record. The transcript is spliced from 2 exons.
UAUAUGACAUACACUAUAGAUUUUCAGUACUGGCAGCGAAUAUCAGAACACGGCUAUUAUUACAUCAUGGUUUAUAGCAUACAUAUUAUUACAUCAUGCUAUAAACUGCAUUUGGGCAACAGGUUUUUACAGAUAGGGCGAUCAUGCAUUACCAAGAUGCCAACGCCGUUUGGAGACUUCAGAUUCCUAUGGAGUGCGUUCUGAUUCCAUUAUCCUCUCAGACACUUUUCGUUAAACUCCGCCCAUCACCCGCUCACCCGACUAUCACCCAUCGGGUGAAGAAUUGGAACACAGCCUAAGAUAAUCUGCACGUGUGAAGCCAAAACUAGUAACACUCUUAUGAUUGGAACAUGUAGAAUACUUCGUUAAACAGCACGCAACGAAUCAAUUAACAAAAUCAGUACGAAAAAUCGUACACGUGUGCCGCAGGCUUUAUACAAUGUCGCCUGUAUACGUUGCUGGAAAGCACCCAAAUGACAUUUUCAGUCUGUGAAAGUGUCACAUUUAGAACAGUAGCCCUAUCCUGUAACUUUUAACGACAAAUUCGCUAUCGUUACACGUCGCUGCGCAGCUAUUUUCCGAUAUGUUUCAGCUGCGCAACGACGCGUAACGAUAACAUCAUCGUUACGAAGUUAGAGAGUAGGCCUACAGAGUGGGAAUUAUGAGGAGAUUUCUCAGAAUAACGGAAGAAUCUGAUUUUAUUCGGUUUCAACAAUUCUAAUAAGUAUAUAUCUAUCUUGUGUUCCAAUUUUAUUGUAUAUAUUUCAGUUAAGUCAUUAAAUCCAUUUAUUUAAACGUUGAAAUUUAUCGAAGUAUCAAAUCUUAAAGGGAUUACUUUUUGAAAGUGAUGAUGACAGCAAAAUUGGUACUUUGAAUAAUCCAGAUAGCAAAAUGCUAGCAGCAUGCGCGCAGAUUGGCAGCAAAUUUAAUCAGAAUUCCAUGCCAAAACCAUAGCCAU